UACAUGUGGGGCAAGCGUUGUUCGGAAUUACUGGGCGUAAAGGGCUCGUAGGCGGCCAACUAAGUCAGACGUGAAAUCCCUCGGCUUAACCGGGGAACUGCGUCUGAUACUGGAUGGCUUGAGGUUGGGAGAGGGAUGCGGAAUUCCAGGUGUAGCGGUGAAAUGCGUAGAUAUCUGGAGGAACACCGGUGGCGAAGGCGGCAUCCUGGACCAAUUCUGACGCUGAGGAGCGAAAGCCAGGGGAGCAAACGGG
This 253-nucleotide ribosomal RNA is filed under the name uncultured bacterium. Its description in RNAcentral is "partial 16S ribosomal RNA". It matches the Rfam family "Bacterial small subunit ribosomal RNA", at positions 524 to 776 of the family's 1533-position model. The record is from RNAcentral.